Molecule: long non-coding RNA, 1137 nt
Filed under: Felis catus (domestic cat)
Lineage: Eukaryota; Metazoa; Chordata; Mammalia; Carnivora; Felidae
Description: lncRNA (ENSFCAG00000048860.1)
Source: RNAcentral
GGGGUCCCCCGUGUCCUCUCUCCUCACCGGCUGCUGGGCGCCGCCAUCUUCCUUCCCCGCCCCCGUGGGAGGAGAGCCGCUUCCUGUGCGUCACUUCCGGAGGGCGGGACGCGGCGAGACAGGGCCGUGGCUGCAGGUGUUUUCAGGGGUUGGGCGGGAGCGUGUAGAGUUGGGAGGUCGGAGGCCUGAGGUCCUUUCGAGAAACGCGAGGAACACGGAACGGCCAAGGCUUCCGGGGAGGAGAGGACGGCGGCCCCGCACCUUUGUUUCCAGAGGUUUCCAGGCGUUUUCUGGCCGGAUCCCAGGGCCUCGUGCGAUGGGCCGGGCUGGACACCGCGCGCUUCAAAGUCACGUUUGGGAUGCUUCUUGCUGACUGUAUCCUCAAGAGGAACUGGUUCUUGGAACGAUGCCUCCGCCUUCCAAUCUGACCAGUUGCAGCCUUACCGUGUUAGCUAUCAAGUGGGAAGACCGGUGAACUCAAGGUUGCUUGUCGGACCUGAGCCACACCAGGGAAUGCAAUCACCAGAGCAUCUCAGGAUGUAGAAGGUGUAGUAACCCAGAAACCCAGAGAUAAAGGUCCAGAGGGAAGGAAGCACGAAACUCUCGACGUUUUCAGUACGCCCGAGGGAAGCCGUGUGAAAGGCUCCCAACCGGAGAAUGAAGAUCACUGAGUUCCAGAAACAUUUAAGAAAGUUUGGGGAUUAUUGGACUCAGAAGCUGGUGGCAGACUGCCUUGUACACAUCAGUCCCCUCUGCUUCUUAGCCAUAGUCACACUGCGUGCUCGCCUUGGAAUGAUGUCCAGGAAGCUCACUAUGUUUCCAGGAUUCACUUUCACGUCUUUAAAGCUGAUCUCUUCCCCUUCGAAGUGUGACAGGCCCGGUCUGGAUGAACGGGGCCCGCCUCCGGGACCACAAGUGCCUGCCCAUGGAGCUUCUAAGGAGGAUCCUGUCACCCUAGUGGACCACACCUCUGACCUCCAGAGACACAGCAACACCUACCAAAUAGAGGUGACGUUUCAAACAGAGCCAUGGAACGGCCAUGGAGAACAGGAGCGCCUUUCUGGAUCAGGUAGACCUACCUGGAUCAGUGAGCGUCAGGUGAACACGAGAAACCAAGGCGGGCAGAUGCCUGCCUGA